This 36-nucleotide small RNA is filed under the name Spodoptera frugiperda (fall armyworm). RNAcentral's name for it is "LNCR rasiRNA". The record is from RNAcentral. Lineage: Eukaryota; Metazoa; Arthropoda; Insecta; Lepidoptera; Noctuidae.
GUAUUAUCAGUCGUAUGAUUAUUUGUCUGUAGUGGU